AUCCACAUGGUGAAUCCAGAAUAGGACGAAACGCGUGUCCUGGAU
Molecule: non-coding RNA, 45 nt
Filed under: Schistosoma mansoni
Lineage: Eukaryota; Metazoa; Platyhelminthes; Trematoda; Strigeidida; Schistosomatidae
Source: RNAcentral